AGUGAACGCUGGCGGUAGGCCUAACACAUGCAAGUCGAACGGCAGCACAGUAAGAGCUUGCUCUUACGGGUGGCGAGUGGCGGACGGGUGAGGAAUACAUCGGAAUCUACUUUUUCGUGGGGGAUAACGUAGGGAAACUUACGCUAAUACCGCAUACGACCUACUGGUGAAAGCAGGGGAUCUUCGGACCUUGUGCGUUUGAAUGAGCCGAUGUCGGAUUAGCUAGUUGGCGGGGUAAAGGCCCACCAAGGCGACGAGCCGUAGCUGGUCUGAGAGGAUGAUCGGCCACACUGGAACGUGGACACGGACCAGACUCCUACGGGAGGCAGCAGUGGGGAAUAUUGGACAAUGGGCGCAAGCCUGAUCCAGCCAUACCGCGUGUGUGAAGAAGGCCUUCGGGUUGUAAAGCCCUUUUGUUGGGAAAGAAAAGCAGCAGGUUAAUACCCCGCUGUUCUGACGGUACCCAAAGAAUAAGCACCGGCUAACUUCGUG
Molecule: ribosomal RNA, 492 nt
Filed under: uncultured bacterium
Lineage: Bacteria
Description: partial 16S ribosomal RNA
Rfam family: Bacterial small subunit ribosomal RNA
Source: RNAcentral